Molecule: long non-coding RNA, 922 nt
Organism: Tigriopus californicus
Lineage: Eukaryota; Metazoa; Arthropoda; Copepoda; Harpacticoida; Harpacticidae
Exons: 2
Source: RefSeq, a predicted model, not a curated record
GUCCCCAUCAUUGAAAUAGCUUCCUGGCGAAACGCUUCCCGAAGAUGAAUACGUCUGAGAUCCAUGGGAAUAGUCCUGAAAUGGAAGACUCUAAUAUGGCUGUGUUUCUAAACGAGUUGUACCCGUAUAUGGUCAUGCCCUGGGUUGUGUUUUUUUUGUGUGUGUGAAUAUGAUUCAUGGCGACCCGAUUGAGAAGAAAUCGUGCGAAAGAAACUGUAAACCCUAUCUUUUCUUUUUUUUAUUUUUACACGGUGUUCAUGACAUCUUGUUGCGGUAUCCUUUUCAUGCGAUUUGGUGUGUGCGAUUGUGCGUGUGUGAUAUGUGUGCAAUCUUUAGAUCGUUUUAUGGUUCCCUUUUCCAAGUUUGUAUGUGAAUGAGUAAGUCGUACGUAGUAUGUAUUCAUGUCGACAAGAACGAACUCCAACGGAGUGAAACGAUAAAUGCACGAAGAAGUUGUGCAUGGGCCAUGUACUGAGAGAAACAGAUAGCUCAAAUUUUGCAUCCACCCAAAGAUCUUCCAUGGAACCUGAGACAGACCCACCAAAGGCUGCUGGCACGAACAAAUAGUCAUCCGAGUCACUAUCUAUGCUGGGUUGAAGAAAAUCCCGAGAAAAUGAGUCCUGGUCACGCGUGUCGAAUCUGGUGAGCUUGGAGAAUCCCUUCACGACUUGUUGGCCCAAUUCUCGGAGUUUAUUCGAGACCAUUUCCAAUGGGUUUAAGCUCACUGCACUUUGUCUCUUGGUGAGCACAGAGUUGCCGCUGGACGCAUAAUUGGUAUGCCAUUCGCGGGUCUUGCUCUUUGUGUUGAGGAGAGGAAAUCCCGGAUUGACCGGUGAGAAAUGAGGUUGGUGAUCCUGGGAGUAGGUUUGGUACCACUCGCCUCGUUGGGCAUGGGGAAAAGCUUCCACCUCCACGACCACGA